RNAcentral lists this unclassified non-coding RNA (357 nucleotides) under soil metagenome. RNAcentral describes it as "partial contains 5.8S ribosomal RNA, internal transcribed spacer 2, and large subunit ribosomal RNA". The stretch from base 1 to 120 matches the Rfam family "5.8S ribosomal RNA", at positions 35 to 154 of the family's 154-position model. The record is from RNAcentral.
GAUGAAGAACGUAGCGAAAUGCGAUAAGUAAUGUGAAUUGCAGAAUUCAGUGAAUCAUCGAAUCUUUGAACGCACAUUGCGCCCGUCAGUAUUCUGGCGGGCAUGCCUGUUCGAGCGUCAUUACGCCCCUCAAGUCCCCUGUGGACUUGGUGUUGGGGAUCGGCGAGGCUGGUUUUCCAGCACAGCCGUCCCUUAAAUUAAUUGGCGGUCUCGCCGUGGCCCUCCUCUGCGCAGUAGUAAAACACUCGCAACAGGAGCCCGGCGCGGUCCACUGCCGUAAAACCCCCCAACUUUUUAUAGUUGACCUCGAAUCAGGUAGGACUCCCCGCUGAACUUAAGCAUAUCAAUAAGCGGAGA